RNAcentral lists this ribosomal RNA (305 nucleotides) under uncultured bacterium. Its description in RNAcentral is "partial 16S ribosomal RNA". It matches the Rfam family "Bacterial small subunit ribosomal RNA", at positions 337 to 644 of the family's 1533-position model. The record is from RNAcentral.
GCCUACGGGGGGCAGCAGUGGGGAAUAUUGCCCAAUGGGGGAAACCCUGAUGCAGCGACGCCGCGUGAGUGAAGAAGUAUCUCGGUACGUAAAGCUCUAUCCGCAGGGAAGAAAAAAAGUCUUUGGCUUUGGACGGUACCUGACUAAGAAGCCCCGGCUAACUACGUGCCAGCAGCCGCGGUAAUACGUAGGGGGCAAGCGUUAUCCGGAAUCACUGGGUGUAAAGGGAGCGUAGACGGCUGUGCAAGCCUGAAGUGAAAGGCGGGGGCCCAACCCCUGGACUGCUUUGGGAACUGUACGGCUGG